RNAcentral lists this ribosomal RNA (176 nucleotides) under unidentified eubacterium 178R6. RNAcentral's name for it is "partial 16S ribosomal RNA". It matches the Rfam family "Bacterial small subunit ribosomal RNA", at positions 513 to 687 of the family's 1533-position model. The record is from RNAcentral. RNAcentral also lists the same sequence under 1 other name.
CGCCGCGGUAAUACGUAGGUGGCAAGCGUNGUCCGGAAUUAUUGGCCGUAAAGCGACGCGCAGGCGGUCCUUUAAGUCUGAUGUGAAAGCCCACGGUUCAACCGUGGNGGGUCAUUGGAAACUGGGGGACUUGAGUACAGAAGAGAAGAGUGGAAUUCCACGUUUAGNGGUGAAAU